This is a long non-coding RNA of Gallus gallus (chicken), 413 nucleotides long. RefSeq lists it as uncharacterized. NCBI's taxonomy places the organism in Eukaryota, Metazoa, Chordata, Aves, Galliformes, Phasianidae. The record is from RefSeq and is a predicted model, not a curated record. The transcript has 2 exons.
GAGCAGGAGGUUGGAGUGGGGACUGCUGUGAAGCCUCUUCCAGGUUGAAUUUUCUGUGAGUCCGCAGACAAGAAAAUAUUAAAUUCAAAGGUCCCUUUAACAUUUGCAUCAACAAGGACAAUCAUCAGGAAAUGCCAAACGAACUCCACUGGAUUUUUCCUCUAAAGAAGCGAACAGAAUUAUUCUAACAGCGUCGAGUCGAAACACCCACUUUUUGGUUUUCAUUCUACUCAUCUGUAGAGAAAUUACACUCUGGCCAAUGAGUGGUAUUGAGAAAUUAAUUUUGUUUAAAUUCAACAAAGGCCCCGGCGUCCCCUGUGACAAAGUGUUUUGAAGGUAUAAAGCAUUCUUUCUGCCAUGAGGAUAACGAAUUUGCAAAUAUUUGUAAAUAAAUGAAUGAAAAUGCAAACUCC